GUCUAUGACCAUGCCAUCCUGAACAACCUCGAUGUCUAACCUCAGAAGCUAAGCAGGGUUGGGCUGGUUAGUACUUGAUCGGGAGACCACCUAGGAAGAUUGGGUGCUGUAGGCA
Molecule: ribosomal RNA, 115 nt
Filed under: Pteropus alecto (black flying fox)
Lineage: Eukaryota; Metazoa; Chordata; Mammalia; Chiroptera; Pteropodidae
Source: RNAcentral